Molecule: ribosomal RNA, 406 nt
Filed under: uncultured bacterium
Lineage: Bacteria
Description: partial 16S ribosomal RNA
Rfam family: Bacterial small subunit ribosomal RNA
Source: RNAcentral
AUUGAACGCUGGCGGCGGGCCUAACACAUGCAAGUCGAACGAGUGGCGGAAUGGUGAGUAGUGUCUGGGAAACUGCCCGAUGGAGGGGGAUAACUGCUGGAAACGGUAGCUAAUACCGCAUAACGUCGGUUGUGCCCAGAUGGGAUUAGCUAGUAGGGGGGGUAACGGCUCACCUAGGCGACGAUGCCUAGCUGGUCUGAGAGGCUGACCAGCCACACUGGAACGGAGACACGGCCCAGACUCCUACGGGAGGCAGCAGUGGGGAAUAUUGGACAAUGGGCGAAAGCCUGAUGCAGCAAUGCCGCGUGUAUGAAGAAGGUUUUCGGGUUGUAAAGUACUGUCAGCGGGGAGGCGUUACCCGCAGAAGAAGCCACGGCUAACUACGUGCCAGCAGCCGCGGUAAUAC